CACGUAGGAGGCGAGCGUUGUCCGAAAUCAUUGGGCGUAAAGAGCGCGCAGGCGGCUUGGCAAGUCGGGUGUGAAAUCCCGGGGCUCAACCCCGUGACUGCAUUCGAUACUGUCAGGCUAGAGGUAGGUAGGGGAGAUCGGAAUUCCUGGUGUAGCGGUGAAAUGCGCAGAUAUCAGGAGGAACAGCCGGUGGCGAAGGCGGAUCUCUGGGCCUUACCUGACGCUCAGGCGCGAAAGCGUGGGGAGCGAACAGG
Molecule: ribosomal RNA, 254 nt
Filed under: uncultured bacterium
Lineage: Bacteria
Description: partial 16S ribosomal RNA
Rfam family: Bacterial small subunit ribosomal RNA
Source: RNAcentral